GGAAAUCCAAAUUGCAGUGCAAGCACCAAAGACCAAAAGGUGACAGAGGAUCACAUGUUGAUUAUAACCAAGCUUUGAAAUUUCCAAAUCUGAAUGUCCAUAACAGUACCACCACCAUAUGGCUACACAUCUAUCCAACCAAAACAAACUAUCAUGAUAAUAUAAAAAAAAUGGAAGACAAAAGAUAAUAAGUAGCUAGAAGAACAAAAGUAAAGAAGUAUUUUACAUCACUAUAAAAAGAUCUAGGAUUGGCCGAGUACUUCUUUAGGUGCCCACACAAAAGACCUCAUCACCAUAGGACACCUCACAACUUGGAUCAUCCAAGAGCAUAUGCUUCUGGACAAAGAACUCAUGGCAGCAGAAAAAUACAACACACUGGUCAAAAAUAAUAUCCUAAUUGAGAAACUUCCAUACAAAAGUAGUUUUGACAAAGAUAAGAGGAGCCAUGAGAGAAGAAAACUGAAUUGAAAAUUAUCGAUACUCAUAAAAGACUGAACUUAAAAGGCCUCAACUCAUAUGGACAAACAAGAUCACUCCAUGAAAAGAAGAAUCCACUGCUCUGUAAGACCCAAUGGCUGCAAGCAAAGGAAUAAAGGAAAGAAUACUUGCAAAGCUGACGAAACCCACUAGAAAAUGCAAGAUAAGAUUGAAAAACCCCUCUCAUAUCCUGAUAAUAUCCAUAUUGCGGUGCAUCCACAAAACUGGCAAAGAAUCAAGAUUGAGAAACCCCUCUAUCUCGCCUAAUAAUAUUCAGAUUGUAGUGCCAGCACAAAAAUGGCAUAGAAACAGGUUGCACAAGAAUGGACACUGGGCAUUAACCUUCAAAAUUUUCCAAAUCUAAUCCUCUACUGUCAUCCAUCCAACAAAUAAAAUCAAUCUGGGGUGAAACAAACAGGAAGCAGAGAACGGACCCACUUGAUGGGGCUGUCAAGAGAUCUAGGAUUGAGUUUUGAUUUCUUAUCAGGUGUCAAUAAGACCAUAUACCCAUCAACCAACCAGGAAUCUCGUAAUCUCAUCAAUUGGAUCAUCGAAGAACACAAGCAUCCGAUCUACAAACUAAAAAUGGCAGAGCAGAAUACAACACACACUAGUGCAAGAAAAACUAAUUUAGCUGGGAACUACCAUAUAACGGCAAUUUUUGACAAAGAGAGGAGGGACCACUCUGAUUGAGGAAGAAAACUGAAAUGAGAAUCUCAGUACUCAUAAAACCUGAAGUAGAAGAACAUCAACACAAAUGUCCAAACAAAGCCCCUCCAUGAAAAGGAUAGUUCACUGCUCGGUUAGACCCAACUGCAAGCACAGAAAGGAGG
This 1310-nucleotide long non-coding RNA is filed under the name Solanum tuberosum (potato). RNAcentral's name for it is "long non-coding RNA (STUB_LNC004799)". The record is from RNAcentral. Lineage: Eukaryota; Viridiplantae; Streptophyta; Magnoliopsida; Solanales; Solanaceae.